GAUGAACGCUAGCGGCAGGCUUAACACAUGCAAGUCGAGGGGUAGAAGCAGCUUGCUGCUUUGAGACCGGCGCACGGGUGCGUAACGCGUAUGCAAUCUACCUUUUACAGAGGGAUAGCCCAGAGAAAUUUGGAUUAAUACCUCAUAGUAUGUGAGAAUCGCAUGGUUUUUCACAUUAAAGUUCCAACGGUAAAAGAUGAGCAUGCGUCCCAUUAGCUAGAUGGUAAGGUAACGGCUUACCAUGGCGACGAUGGGUAGGGGUCCUGAGAGGGAGAUCCCCCCACACUGGUACUGAGACACGGACCAGACUCCUACGGGAGGCAGCAGUGAGGAAUAUUGGACAAUGGGCGCAAGCCUGAUCCAGCCAUGCCGCGUGCAGGAUGACGGUCCUAUGGAUUGUAAACUGCUUUUGACAGGAAGAAACACUCCCUCGUGAGGAGCUUGACGGUACUGU
This 454-nucleotide ribosomal RNA is filed under the name uncultured bacterium. RNAcentral's name for it is "bacterial SSU rRNA". It matches the Rfam family "Bacterial small subunit ribosomal RNA", at positions 28 to 481 of the family's 1533-position model. The record is from RNAcentral.